This 259-nucleotide long non-coding RNA is filed under the name Prunus persica (peach). RNAcentral's name for it is "long non-coding RNA (PPER_LNC004068)". The record is from RNAcentral. Lineage: Eukaryota; Viridiplantae; Streptophyta; Magnoliopsida; Rosales; Rosaceae.
AGUAUCCGGGACUCCGUUUUACGAUCCGUUGAAUCCUACACGAUCCUAAGGAUAUCUAGAUUAACAUAUAUUAAAUUUAAGACUAUCCAACGGUUCAAACCUAUCGACCUGGAUAGCGCACAAUAGGUGAUAUCCGUUCAAGACUCAAACAGUAUCCAAAAUGAAAUCCGAGCACAUGUACGCACUCGUGAGGACUAAGAGAUUACAUCGGGACACAAUGCCCUUUUUCUACAAUUCCCACAUGAGCCACACAUGCCGG